Pelobates cultripes (western spadefoot toad) is the source of this 7662-nucleotide non-coding RNA. NCBI's taxonomy places the organism in Eukaryota, Metazoa, Chordata, Amphibia, Anura, Pelobatidae. The record is from the annotation of a GenBank genome assembly.
UUUCAUUCAAGAAAUAAUCUUGGAGUGAGAAUGAGCUUCCCAUUGCAGGAAAACAGUAGAAGCCGUAGCUGCAUUCUAUUGUGCCUAUUAAAGAUAAUUGGUAACUGGGUCAUUACAGACUUACAUUUUAUGUUUGUUUUUUUCCAUUUCAGAAUCAGGCUUAUGAAAUUAUUCUAACUUUAGGCCAGGCUUUUGAAGUUGCCUAUCAACUGGCCAUUCAAGCUCAGAAAUCCCGGCAUCCUGAAGCUUUAGUCUCUCGUCCAGCCAAACCUGUCCCAAAACCACGUGGUAGCAUACGGAGACAGACUGUAAGUACUUAAGAGUAGUGUUUGAAUCACCAUUGCUUGUUUAUCUUGUGCUUUUUUCAGUUAUUUGAGUAGAAGUCAUUUAUAUUUCUACACAAAAAUGUAGAAUAGUCUUAUAUUUACACAGCAACUUUAUUCUAACUCCUUUUUACUUUUUUCUUUUUACAGUUGUUUAAUUUCUAUAUAAAUUGCUUUCCCAGCAUUAUUCUUAAUUUACUUAUAUCCAUUCAUUCAUUUUUUUUUUUUUCCUGUUUAUUUUCCAAGAUUCAGAUUUCAGUUCUUUUUGUCUGUUAUGGUUAAACACAGAUUAAUUGAUUUUAGUUGGUUGCAUUUAAAAUGCAAUGUACUAAACUUUGCGAUAAACAUGAAUUCACUAAUAUGCUUUGUGUUGGGACCUUUAUUUUGUUGACCAAUCGUAGACAAACUAACCGUGUAUAAUACAUGUCACAUGACAGAUGGACUCAUUGGACGGUGAACAAUCUGUGACCUCUCACGGGGGAGUGUCGUGGACUGGGGAUCCUAAGCAGUAGUUGAAUAGGAGCCAAUGAGAAGCAAGUGAGUAGAAUUAAUUCUCAGAGCUUAAUCAUAGAAAAACAAAAGCAAAUGACAAGACUAAAACAACAUCAAUGAGCAAGUGUGUGUGUGUAUAAAUGUUUAAUGCGGAUACUUUACAUGUUGAUCGAGUUAGUUUGUUGAAGUGUGUGAAAAGUGUUUCAUUUUACAAAAAAGUACCCUUUUCAACAGAAAUUGGCAAUUUAUAAAUUUAACCUUUUUAUACCAUCAUGACUGCCAAUCAGGCAACCAUUCCUGUUACUUCCUGGUUGUUUAGCUUAGUGGAGCUAAACUCAAGAGGCAGCAUUUGCCCAGAGUAAGUGCCUUGCAAAGACUUCUCAUUGAGUUGCAUUGGGAAGUCUGUGAUUGGACAGGCGCAUGAAGUGUGAGCUUUCAAAUAAAACAUGAGCAAGUAAUAAGAAUGCAACAUAAGUGUAUUCUGUACUGUAGGUGAGUCCCACACCAGUCUUAUAGCAGUUGGCUGGUGGUCUUGUAAUAAAAUUUUUCUACCCUUGUACACACUGCAGGAUGACACUAUGUUGACUUCUUUAGGAAAGAUAUAUCUAAUUUUCUUUUUCUUUCUAAUACUCGUUAGUAUUUUGUGUGUGGAGGGGGGGUGUUGCCCUUAAUUAUUUAUAAUAGCAAUGUCUUAGUAGCAUUUUUUGUUGAAUGAACAUGAAAUUUGGGCCUUUGUGCUGAUUCCUACAUUCAUUGUUUUUGUUUGCUAUAUACCUAAUUUUAACUGUAUUUCUAUACUUGUUUUCUGCUUUUUCUCUUUCCAGUUAUGGAUCCUGUUUUUCAAAACCAACAGACCUCCACUGAUCUUUACAUUUCCUUCAUAUCUCACUAUGCUGAGCAAGAGAGGACAAAAGGACAAACACCAAGCUGCUGCAGAUAAAGGGAGCACAGUUGCCUCCUCCUUCAUUGAUGUUUCCAAACUCACUCAUAAUUUAUGGGAGAAGACUGGCAGUUAUAAUUUCACUUUCUUUUUUGCCUCCGUUUCAUAUGUUUUUUUGGAAUUCAACUUUAUAAGUUAGGUAUAUAUGGGCAAAAUGAAGAUGUGGAGUUAUUCUUUCUUCCAUAUAACUUUAAUUCAUGACAUUGAGUUUUACGCUUUUAUGUGCAACUGUUCUUCAUAUCCUUUUUGAUUAUUUUUUUUUUUUUCCCCAACUGCACACACCCUUUCUAACAUAUUUAAUGUAGCACUUUUUUGGGGUGAUGUUUGCAGUUUGGAACAACAAGGAUUUAUGUCUCCUUGAGUGGUUGAGCUUCUUUAACUCACUGCAAGGAAUAUUUGUUAUGUGAGUGUUUUGUCCCUUUAAUUUGUGUCGGAAAGUGAAGGUUGCCUUCUGAAUUCCACAGCUCAACUGGUAUGAAAGUCCCUUUGAAACUACACCCCUGUUCAUAGUAUAGGGCUAGUUAGGGAUUUGCAAGACCGAAAAAGGCCCUUUUGAAGACUCCAUAUGUUCUCUUAACUUAACAGGGCUUUUCCCCAUCAUGUGUCUGAAAUAUAUUCUGCCAAACUAUUAAAAAGUUAGCCAGAACGUGGUACUGGAAGGUAUGGAAAAGCAAUUCCAGUUGCUGUUUUACCUUUGUGUUCUUGCUGCAAGAACUUUGGGCCUAAAUGGUGGUAAAAUUCCAAAGCAGGUCUGACUUGAGAGAUUUCCACAAAUGUCUCUAUAAGCUAUGAUUAAAAGUUAAACAUUUUUGUAAUUGGAACCACAUGGGGGUAUUUAUACAUGAACAUUUUAAAGAGUAAUAACGCAGAAGUUGGGGCAGAUUACCAGAUAAGUGAGGUUUAACAUUUUUGUAUUUUAUGCUUAAUGAAUUUGAAAGCAUGCAUAAGGCCCAUAGAAGCAAAAUAUACAUGUUAUUUAAUUCCUUUUUUAUGUAUGUGAAACUGAGCCUAUAAUGUGUGUAGGUCUAUUUUAUUCUACAUGGGACUUGUCAUUUUUGACUUUCUGCAUUUUUAGCUCAGUCAUAUAUUGGGGAAGAUGCUUUUAAAAUCCUUUGAUAUAUUUGCAUUUACUAUAUCAAGUAUUCUGCUUCAUCACAGGCAGACAGUGCCCGCGUCAAGUCAUCCGGACACUAUGCAGUCAUUUAUUUUUAAAGCCUAGCUUUUUGCAUUUUUUUUUUUUUUAUUUGAACAACAGAUUGGGGAAGGAAAAUUGGGACAUUCUUGUUGCAAUCAGUUUGUAAAUUUGCCCGUUGCUCAUUCUUUUUCUAUGCCCAUUAAGCUGCGUGCAGGGAACCCAAUGCCUACUUCAUCUGCACAUGAACAAAAAUCUCAGCUCUUCCAGCCAUGACGGCUUGUUCUCUAACUUUUGAAGUCAACUUCUGGAAGAUUUUGUGGCCCUGCCCAUGUGGACUCUUGCACACCUAGCAUUGCUGCUGUACCACUUGAACAUCACACUAACAUUUUUAGUCAGUACUAGUUUAAAGCUGCUAUAUGUAAUCCAGUAUUUAUCUUCUAGUGAAUGAAAUUUUGAUUUAAAUCUGCUAUAAGGGUACAUUUAAUUACGGUACAUUUGAUCCUCCUUGUCAAAUAGGGAUUGGUGGUACAGAAAUCUCACAGAUGUUAAAUUGAUGGGGUGCUCCUCAAUAUUAUACCUGUGUUCUCAUAUAAAAUAGUCAAAACCAUCCUCUUUGAAAAUAAUUUGAUAUUCUUGAAUAAUAGUGUUAAUUAUAUCAGCACACUGAUAAUGAAAGCCCCAAUGAUGGGCUUCUGUGGAUAUUGAAGGUAAACACUGGUGUAUAAUGUUGAUUUGUUUAUUUACAACAUUUAAUCCAGGGCAAACUGACCAAAAGUUAGAUCUCUAGCAUUUGAACUACAACUCCCACUAUUUUUGCCAUUUUUAUUGCUGUCAAACCAUGAAGGAAGUUGUAGCUCUACAACAAUUGAUAAUUUGUUAGAUAAGAAUAUUAUGUGCUGUUGGAAAACAGAUCUGCACCCUCUGUCUGUACUCAAAAGAUUGUCCCUUGCAUUUACCCACCCUUGCUCCAAAAGGUCCAGAAUAGGAUAUGAAAAUAGGUACAUAGAUGCCACCAUGCACUGUAUAAUUCUGAGUACCUUUACAGUUACCAGAAGAGGGGCUUCAUUAAAAUCCUGGCCAUGAUUAUUCUUGCUUAUUUUUACUAUUCUAUGUUUUUUUUUUUAAUAACCCAAAUUGUUAUACAGCACUAUGGUACAAUCAUCUUUUUCAAGGAGCUUAUUACCAAAUUACCUCCUUAAGAUGAUUAGUGGAUACAUUGCUCAUUUUAAAAGUCUCAAUGAAGAACUGCCCAUUAAUACUAAAUGUCAAAUGUUUGAGUCUCCAUAACCAGCUAAAUAUGUCUGGUCAUCUUACUUUACAAAACCUAAAAAUGAAAAUACACUUUUUUAAUUUUAUUAUUUUGUGUGAUUGGUUUGUGUAAAUGUCAAGUUAUGUAUUUUUUUUGUGGGAGAACGUUCAAUUUUCUUAAGUUUCAAAUUCACAAGUUCUGUCUUCUUUGGCAUUACAGUUAUCAGGCCCUGUUUUCAGGUAAGCAUGUUAUAUAUUCCAACAAAUUGGCAUACCUGACAUCCAACUUAAAGAGAAGGACUGUUCAUUGAGCUUUAACUGUUUGAUAUUAAUUGGUUUGUGUUAGUCUCUAUAUACAUACACAGAUUAGGCAGUAUUUCUGUUACAUACCCUGUUUAUUUAAAUCACAGAUGUUUCCUAAUAUAAGGAUAUAAUCACCUCCCCCCCCCACAACAGUAAGCUUUUAUUUAAGAGAUGAGGGCACUUGUAAAAUUUGCAGUUUCCACCACUCUUUUAAACCAAACUAUCUGUUUUUUUUGUUUUUUAAAUUGCCACUGAAUAAGGUGAGAGUAACGACAGUAACUGAUAACAAAUCAAUUUGUUCAGCCUUAAUAAGUUACAAAAGGGUUGUAAUAUCGCCUAUUUGUUGUAUAAAGGUAUAUUUACUGAAGACUUAAAUACAUUUUUUUCAUUAAAAUUUAUUUAUAUAAUAUUUUGUAAUACAGACGGUUAACUGCCUCUGAAAUAGCAGUUUGGCGGAAUGAUUGUAAAAACAGUAAUUUUUUUUAAAAAUAUUUUUUUUGCCACUGUAUAGGUUGUGUGAAGCUAGCUGAAUUGAAAAAAGGUUGCAAAAAGCAUUAUUAAAAAAGCAUAGUAGGAGGUGUGGGCCAAAGAAAUUGAAAGCUAGAAGAGUGAAAAUCUGUCUAAUGGACACAUUUAGAAAAAAAUAAAAAAUUAUAUAUUUUUUUUAAUUUGAUAUCCGUGUGUGAUGCUGCCUCCAUGCUGAUCAAAGCUGUAGAAAAUUUAAAACACAACACUAAUUUCCAAUGAUUGCAUUUUUUUUUUUUUUAAAUCCGUUAUUUUGAAUCACACAAUUAUAUCUUCAUAAAAUCGCUACAUCUUUUCAGCAUUUCAAUGGGGAAAAAGAGGCAACUAAGUAUCCCUGGUACACAACUCACAAUUUCAAGUUCUACUAGCCUGAUCCUAAACUCUAUAUCACAAAUGCUUACAAGAGAAUCAUGUUUUUGAUUAAUGUUUUGUCUGCAAUAUGGCAUAUCUGCUUGUAUGGAGGUUCCCAAUUUGGGAAUUCAGCACUUUAUUUUUUUGUUGUUGACGAAAUUUAAAAAUGCAUCUGUAAAAACGUGUAGAGCAACAUACUAUGCUCUGACCACCCAGAUUUUGCAGAACUAAAACUUCUAUGAGGUUAAUGGUAAAUGACCAUCUGUUGCAUUCAAAGAAUACUGGGGGUUGUAGUCCAUCUAUAUCUGAGGGGUCAGAGUUGGUGUAGUUUCACUGUUGUAUGAGUUUAGAGAGAGAGUGUGUGUGUGUGUGUGUGUGUGUAUGUAUGUAUAUAUAUAUAUAUAUAUAUAUAUAUAUAUAUAUAUAUAAAAAAUGUGUGUGCACCCACGCGCGCGUGCAAAUUGGACAUAUAUAUUUUUUUGUGAUGACCGCAUGUGUGUAAAAGCUUCAGUUUUUCAUACAUUUAUGUCCACACCCAUAUCACUUAUACUAACUCCUCUCUUUACAUGUCCCCUUACUACACAUAGUAAAUUACCUAGGGUGGGAAGUGAUGUUUUACAUUUGCUUUCUUUCAUUUUCUUUUCCCUUUUCUUUUUUUUUUUCUCUUUAGUGUUUUGUUAUGUAGUCCACUUUUUUCUUUCUUACAUUUACUAUUGACCUUACUACUGGUAUCUAGUGGUGAAUGCAGUUACACGUGACUUUCUACGGCUAGUGCAAACCAGCACAGGAAGCCAGGAGGUGACUUUGUAUAACUGCAGUUAGAACCACUGUCUUAUGCAUCAUACCAGAAAUUUUCUCUGCAAUGGUGACGUGUGUGUCAUUUAUUCAUUAAUGUUUUAGUAAGAUGAAAUUGUGCCAGUAUCCCAGUCUGGUUUAUGUAAUUUACUCAUGAAAUUAUAUGCAAUUGAAUACUAACUGAAUUUCCACUCUGUUUCCUGCCAAAAUCUAAAAUGUGGGAAUGCGGUUCAUGCUCUUUUUGUAAUGUUGUGAGAACACACUUUAAGAGCUGUUGUGUAUGUGAUAGGUUUUUAUUAUCUUUUUGAUAUGUGGAUGUUGCACAGCAAUUUAAGAAAUUACUUAAUAAUUGGAGUAUUUCCACAAUAUCAUGUCACUGUGAUCUUUCUUUUUUUGUAUUUCUUUUUUUUCUUUUUAAUAUUAAUGCUAAUUUUGAUGCUGCACUGAUGCACACAAAAGGGUAUAAAACCUGUACACUACUAGCUUUCAUUUAUUUACUUCUUCACCUGUGCAAACUGUUGCUAUAUUAACAAGUGGAAUGAUAUUAGGAAAUAUAACAACUGAUCAUGCUUUUCAUACUCAUUUGCAUAUUUUGUAUUGUAUUCUGGGAGUACAUUUGAGGAAACAAAAAAACACUUCAAGCUACUGUGUUUGAGGGUCACAUUUUGCCCCAUAUACAGUAGCCUUAUUUUUUUCUUCAUAUGUAGAUGGUGCACACCAUUAUACUUUAGAAUUUGAGUUAGCAUGUUUAUGUAGUACACUUAUACCUGUGGAAUAUUUCCAUUUAUUGUCACGUUCUCACCAUCUUUGUUUUACUUUCCUCUGCAUUUUGUGCAGAGAGAUUAGUAACGGGGACAUUUUCCUUGUGCCUUCUGUUCACUUUUAUUAUAUGCAUAUUAGAACUAUGUAAUUGAUUUCAACUACUUGGCUUAAAUUAAUAGUUAAAAUACAGCUGGUACUAUGUGCGCAAGAUGUCUUUACCCUCAAUAUUUGUACAAUAUACAUGUUUUGGCCAGUAUGUAUAAACCCAUGUGAUCAAAUUAAUGUUAUUCAUUUGUGUUUUUCAAGGAAUCCUUCUUGGUUAGUCCAUUGAAUGGUACGAAAUGCAUUGUGUAUCAGGUCUUUAUUCUAUAUUCUAGAGAAUAUAUUGUCAAUAUACUUUGUGUCUUGUGUUUGAGGGAACUACAUGAAUUGUAGUUACCAUAACUUCCAGAUUACUGUAACAGUGGGAUUUUUAGGGGAGCACCCCUCGCCCAGCUUGCACGUCAGACUUCCCAGGAGCAGCCACUUGGAAUGAUCCCAAUAUUUAACCUUUCUAAUAAGAAACUUGAGCAGUUUGUGUGAUGAUGGAUGAUCAAAGUUUGAAUUUGUUUUUCCUUUUUUAUUUUGUCUUUAUAUUGAACAAACUUUGGUGGCCUCUAGCAAGGUUUAUGCAUCUUGCUGCUGGAAGAGCCACUGUAAAUAAUGCCAGCCUUACCCAAGGCCUUUUGGUAUUUUCUUAAGUGUACGACCUUAGAAAAAUUAAUAAAUGAGAUGAUUUAGGACCAAAA